GCUGGCUAUAAUUCAUCAAUAUAAUUGAGAACUAGCAUGAACAAACUUUUGACUGAACAAGUUUUAAACAUGAACAAACAAUUCUGAACCAACUGGUAAUGAAAGUGAUCAGCCUUUCAUACCUGACUUAUACAUACAAGAUGUACAGAGUACAAUUUUCAUGGCAAUCAGUAAUGAUUAACCAUAAGCUUGAAUAAAAC
This 200-nucleotide long non-coding RNA is filed under the name Panax ginseng (ginseng). RNAcentral's name for it is "long non-coding RNA (PGIN_LNC003796)". Lineage: Eukaryota; Viridiplantae; Streptophyta; Magnoliopsida; Apiales; Araliaceae. The record is from RNAcentral.